GGUGAACGCUGGCGGCGUGCCUAAUACAUGCAAGUCGAGCGAACAGAUAAGGAGCUUGCUCCUUUGACGUUAGCGGCGGACGGGUGAGUAACACGUGGGUAACCUACCUAUAAGACUGGAAUAACUCCGGGAAACCGGGGCUAAUGCCGGAUAACAUUUAGAACCGCAUGGUUCUAAAGUGAAAGAUGGUUUUGCUAUCACUUAUAGAUGGACCCGCGCCGUAUUAGCUAGUUGGUAAGGUAACGGCUUACCAAGGCAACGAUACGUAGCCGACCUGAGAGGGUGAUCGGCCACACUGGAACUGAGACACGGUCCAGACUCCUACGGGAGGCAGCAGUAGGGAAUCUUCCGCAAUGGGCGAAAGCCUGACGGAGCAACGCCGCGUGAGUGAUGAAGGUCUUCGGAUCGUAAAACUCUGUUAUUAGGGAAGAACAAAUGUGUAAGUAACUGUGCACGUCUUGACGGUACCUAAUCAGAAAGCCACGGCUAACUACGUG
This 497-nucleotide ribosomal RNA is filed under the name uncultured bacterium. RNAcentral's name for it is "partial 16S ribosomal RNA". It matches the Rfam family "Bacterial small subunit ribosomal RNA", at positions 28 to 507 of the family's 1533-position model. The record is from RNAcentral.